AUGUCUCGGAUGAACCUUCCCGUGCUUUUUAGAACAUAGAUCGGAUCAGUCAGAUCACGAUCGCAACGUAAUACGCCGCAUAGACUUCGGUCAUGACGGUAUGGCGAGCUGCGCCGUCCACGUUUCUCUUUCUUCAAGAAGACAAAGAACCGCGUCGAUCCAGUUUAGGCUGGACCGGUUUGACGAGAAUGGGCCCGUAGCUCAGUUGGUUAGAGCACACGCUUGAUAAGCGUGGGGUCGGAAGUUCAAGUCUUCCCGGGCCCACCAUUCGCAUCUGCGAAUGAGGGUUGGGAAUUGACGGCAGGCGCGGAAAGUUGCCGAACCUGAGUUAUCUCAGGCGAUCGAGCUGAUGGGGCUGUAGCUCAGCUGGGAGAGCACCUGCUUUGCAAGCAGGGGGUCAGCGGUUCGAUCCCGCUCAGCUCCACCAAAUCGAUUGGUGUUGAGACUGGCGGCAACCGAGCGAAGCUCGCAAGCGUGUAAGCGCGCGUCGCCAAUCGUUUGGCGCCCCCGCGGAGCNCCUUCGGCGCGUGAGCGACACAUUUGUCUUUUGAAGAAAUAAAAGUUUGCAUCGGCUUAUGCCUGAUGCCUGUUCUGCAUACAUUGUGAAGAGAAGAUUGAUCUGGAGGCUUCCAGGUGUUUUGGGUUUUGGCCCGAAACGUCCGAGCCCAGUUCUGCUGAUCCUNUGGAUGGCCUAGCCGGCCGGNGAUAGGGGAAGGNCUGGAGGUAGGAAGGAAGCUUGUCGCUCUGGGUCGUUGUUGUUUGGUCAUCUUUAGGGAUGGGCAUCUGACGGACGACUUGAUUACCGUUGCCUGACCGCGCGGUAUCGGAUCAUAUCUCGAGAAGCUGGUCUUAAGACCUGACACAAGCGAGCUGCUCGGCGUAGCUCCAAUAAAGUGAUCAGGUCGAACCCGUCGAUGGCAUUAUUAGAAAGCGUGAUCNUAAAAGGUAAUCACGCAUGUUUGGACUGACCACACGGCAAUCGCAAGGUUGUCCGGAUGGUCAGAUUUGGCACCCCGCGAGGCGAAAGCGAGCGGACAAGGUUUGCCAAAUCCAACAAAGAUGAUGAGCAUUGGCAAUGAGAACGAUUAAGUGUCGUAAGGGCAUUUGGUGGAUGCCUUGGCAUGCACAGGCGAUGAAGGACGUGAUAUCGCUGCGAAAA
This 1159-nucleotide transfer RNA is filed under the name Rhizobium sp. PEPSM14. Its description in RNAcentral is "partial contains 16S ribosomal RNA, 16S-23S ribosomal RNA intergenic spacer, and 23S ribosomal RNA". The stretch from base 191 to 264 matches the Rfam family "tRNA". Lineage: Bacteria; Pseudomonadati; Pseudomonadota; Alphaproteobacteria; Hyphomicrobiales; Rhizobiaceae. The record is from RNAcentral.